This 200-nucleotide ribosomal RNA is filed under the name uncultured bacterium. RNAcentral describes it as "partial 16S ribosomal RNA". It matches the Rfam family "Bacterial small subunit ribosomal RNA", at positions 8 to 210 of the family's 1533-position model. The record is from RNAcentral.
AGAGUUUGAUCAUGGCUCAGGACGAACGCUGGCGGCGUGCUUAACACAUGCAAGUCGAGCGGAAAGGCCCUUCGGGGUACUCGAGCGGCGAACGGGUGAGUAACACGUGAGCAACCUGCCCUUGGCUCUGGGAUAGCCUCCGGAAACGGGGAUUAAUACCGGACAUGACCUUUUCCUGCAUGGGAUUGGGUGGAAAGUUU